Non-coding RNA from Paramuricea clavata, 385 nucleotides. Lineage: Eukaryota; Metazoa; Cnidaria; Anthozoa; Malacalcyonacea; Plexauridae. The record is from the annotation of a GenBank genome assembly.
CUUCAAAACAGGGUAUUGUUUACUUUUAUAUAUAAGGAUUAUGCAGUUAAUACUAGAUUUUGUUUUAAUUAAUAAUGGGGGAGGGGGUCUGAAAAUCCAUCAUUUGGCCGGACAUCCUUUGUGAAUGGCCCCUUAGUGUUUCAAAUUUUGUUUUUGUAUUUCAACAUUUAUUUUUGUGUUUCAACUUUCUAUUUUUGUUUCAACUUUUUAUUUUUGUGUUUCAACUUUUUAUUUUUGUCUUUGUUUUUCUUUCAAAAUUUUUGUUGAAAAUCACUUUUGCAAUUUGCACAAAAUGUUUAUUGAAAAAUUUAGUUUUUGAAAUAAUUUUUUUGGAUAGCAUACACCAUGAUGCAUUGCGGGGAUAAACAAUAUGGUGGAUUUACCA